Molecule: ribosomal RNA, 551 nt
Filed under: uncultured bacterium
Lineage: Bacteria
Description: partial 16S ribosomal RNA
Rfam family: Bacterial small subunit ribosomal RNA
Source: RNAcentral
UGGGGAAUAUUGCACAAUGGGCGAAAGCCUGAUGCAGCAACGCCGCGUGAGUGAUGAAGGUCUUCGGAUUGUAAAGCUCUGUCUUUUGGGACGAUAAUGACGGUACCAAAGGAGGAAGCCACGGCUAACUACGUGCCAGCAGCCGCGGUAAUACGUAGGUGGCGAGCGUUGUCCGGAUUUACUGGGCGUAAAGGGUGUGUAGGCGGAUGUUUAAGUGAGAUGUGAAAUACCCGGGCUUAACUUGGGUGCUGCAUUUCAAACUGGAUAUCUAGAGUGCAGGAGAGGAGAAUGGAAUUCCUAGUGUAGCGGUGAAAUGCGUAGAGAUUAGGAAGAACACCAGUGGCGAAGGCGAUUCUCUGGACUGUAACUGACGCUGAGGCACGAAAGCGUGGGUAGCAAACAGGAUUAGAUACCCUGGUAGUCCACGCCGUAAACGAUGAGUACUAGGUGUAGGAGGUAUCGACCCCUUCUGUGCCGCAGUAAACACAUUAAGUACUCCGCCUGGGAAGUACGAUCGCAAGAUUAAAACUCUAAAGUGAAUUGACGGGGUC